RNAcentral lists this ribosomal RNA (281 nucleotides) under Sundanonchus micropeltis. RNAcentral's name for it is "partial 28S ribosomal RNA". It matches the Rfam family "Eukaryotic large subunit ribosomal RNA", at positions 87 to 335 of the family's 3401-position model. The record is from RNAcentral. Lineage: Eukaryota; Metazoa; Platyhelminthes; Monogenea; Dactylogyridea; Sundanonchidae.
CGGCGAGUGAACGGAGAUUAGCCCAGCACCGAAGCCCACUGUCGUUUGGCAGCAAGGCAAUGUGGUGUUCAGGCGGGCACCUGGGGUUGCUGAGUUGCUCUAAGUCCAUCUAUGAUUCGUGGCGCCAACUUGGUCCUUAGCGGGUGGAAGACCCUUGCGAGCAACUUUUUCGGUUUGUUAAAGCAGCCCCCAGAUGUGUCUGUUWUGGAGUCGGAUUGCWUGAGAAUGCAGUCCAAAGUGGGUGGUAAACUCCAUCCAAGGCUAAAUACCUGCACGAGUCC